Molecule: unclassified non-coding RNA, 180 nt
Organism: Chelonoidis abingdonii (Abingdon island giant tortoise)
Lineage: Eukaryota; Metazoa; Chordata; Testudines; Testudinidae
Source: Ensembl
UUGGAAACAAAGUCCUUCAUUUAUCCACAGGAGAAGUAUAACAUGGUGAUCCAUGUUGUUACUGGCCAUACACUGGUCAACCAAUGUGUCUUAACUCUGACUUGCCAGGGCCACCUUAGACAAGAUUAUUUCAGUCCCUGAAGAUGUAAGUGAAGGCAUCAAACCCAUUCACUUGAAACU